CUUUGUGGAUUGCCGGUCAGCUGAAAUAUAUUCGCGCUUCUGGAGCUCCUUUCCUCUUGAGGAAAGGCGUGGUUCCGAUUUGGUAGGUGACCUUUGCCGGUUGCAUGCCUUCGUUGCCCGCUAUGCUGCCAGACUAGCGCUGUGCAGGACGCCUUUUGGCUUUCGACCUGAGGUCAGGCAAGAACACCCGCUGAACUUAA
Molecule: unclassified non-coding RNA, 200 nt
Filed under: soil metagenome
Description: partial contains internal transcribed spacer 2 and large subunit ribosomal RNA
Source: RNAcentral